This 496-nucleotide ribosomal RNA is filed under the name uncultured bacterium. Its description in RNAcentral is "partial 16S ribosomal RNA". It matches the Rfam family "Bacterial small subunit ribosomal RNA", at positions 28 to 507 of the family's 1533-position model. The record is from RNAcentral.
GAUGAACGCUGGCGGCGUGCCUAAUACAUGCAAGUCGAGCGAACGGACGAGAAGCUUGCUUUUCUGAUGUUAGCGGCGGACGGGUGAGUAACACGUGGAUAACCUACCUAUAAGACUGGGAUAACUUCGGGAAACCGGAGCUAAUACCGGAUAAUAUUUGAACCGCAUGGUUCAAAAGUGAAAGACGGUCUUGCUGUCACUUAUAGAUGGAUCCGCGCUGCAUUAGCUAGUUGGUAAGGUAACGGCUUACCAAGGCAACGAUGCAUAGCCGACCUGAGAGGGUGAUCGGCCACACUGGAACUGAGACACGGUCCAGACUCCUACGGGAGGCAGCAGUAGGGAAUCUUCCGCAAUGGGCGAAAGCCUGACGGAGCAACGCCGCGUGAGUGAUGAAGGUCUUCGGAUCGUAAAACUCUGUUAUUAGGGAAGAACAUAUGUGUAAGUAACUGUGCACAUCUUGACGGUACCUAAUCAGAAAGCCACGGCUAACUACGUG